This 301-nucleotide ribosomal RNA is filed under the name uncultured bacterium. RNAcentral describes it as "partial 16S ribosomal RNA". It matches the Rfam family "Bacterial small subunit ribosomal RNA", at positions 509 to 807 of the family's 1533-position model. The record is from RNAcentral.
CAGUAGCCGCGGGAAUACGUAGGUGGCAAGCGUUGUCCGGAAUUAUUGGGCGUAAAGCGCGCGCAGGUGGUUUAAUAAGUCUGAUGUGAAAGCCCACGGCUCAACCGUGGAGGGUCAUUGGAAACUGUUAAACUUGAGUGCAGGAGAGAAAAGUGGAAUUCCUAGUGUAGCGGUGAAAUGCGUAGAGAUUAGGAGGAACACCAGUGGCGAAGGCGGCUUUUUGGCCUGUAACUGACACUGAGAGACGAAAGCUAGGGGAGCAAAUGGGAUUAGAUACCCGAGUAGUCCCUGUCUCUUAUAC